Molecule: transfer RNA, 64 nt
Filed under: Anaplecta sp. 8 ZQW-2020
Lineage: Eukaryota; Metazoa; Arthropoda; Insecta; Blattodea; Anaplectidae
Description: tRNA-Phe
Source: RNAcentral
ACUUUUAUAGCUUAUAGUUUAGAGUGUGAUAUUGAAGAUAUCAAGGAGAUAUUAUCUAGAAGUA